AUGGCUGCUGAUUCAGUCUCAUACUGUCCUGCUUCAACAUCUCAAAAUUUCCAGAGCUGGGACAUUGUCUCAGGAAGUCCUCAAGACCCAGCAGCCUCUAUGGAUCUUUUUGCUCUACUUAGACUGCAGCUUUUUUUUAUCCUGGUACCUAGAUGGCUGCUGCAACUCCAGGCAUCACAGCAGCGCUCUGCUCAAGAGGAAGAAGAGAAGGUCAAAUGGCAAAAACCUUGA
Molecule: long non-coding RNA, 231 nt
Filed under: Vulpes vulpes (red fox)
Lineage: Eukaryota; Metazoa; Chordata; Mammalia; Carnivora; Canidae
Description: lncRNA (ENSVVUG00000001242.1)
Source: RNAcentral